AACGAACGCUGGCGGCAGGCUUAACACAUGCAAGUCGAGCGCAUCCUUCGGGGUGAGCGGCGGACGGGUGAGUAACGCGUGGGAACGUGCCCUCUUCUACGGAAUAGCCUCGGGAAACUGAGAGUAAUGCCGUAUACGCCCGCAAGGGGAAAGAUUUAUCGGAGGAGGAUCGGCCCGCGUUGGAUUAGGUAGUUGGUGGGGUAACGGCCUACCAAGCCGACGAUCCAUAGCUGGUUUGAGAGGAUGAUCAGCCACACUGGGACUGAGACACGGCCCAGACUCCUACGGGAGGCAGCAGUGGGGAAUCUUGGACAAUGGGGGCAACCCUGAUCCAGCCAUGCCGCGUGAUCGAUGAGGGCCUUAGGGUUGUAAAGAUCUUUCAGCUGGGAAGAUAAUGACGGUACCAGCAGAAGAAGCCCCGGCUAACUCCGUG
Molecule: ribosomal RNA, 433 nt
Filed under: uncultured bacterium
Lineage: Bacteria
Description: partial 16S ribosomal RNA
Rfam family: Bacterial small subunit ribosomal RNA
Source: RNAcentral